Calidris pygmaea (Spoon-billed sandpiper) is the source of this 886-nucleotide long non-coding RNA. Lineage: Eukaryota; Metazoa; Chordata; Aves; Charadriiformes; Scolopacidae. The record is from Ensembl.
UUGAUUAUGUAGAUUUUUUUUUUUCUCCCCUAUUGCAGUUUCAUAUGCAAAGCAUGCAUCAGCCACAUCCAUGCUAUCUCCUAAAGCAGUCAUUCUGAAACCCAAUCUGGGGACAGUGCAGACUAAAUAAAAUUUCAUUUUGAUUUGGCCUCCCGCUGAGAAUGGGACUGCUUUGUUUCAGCCGACAGAACCAGCAAGCCAGAAAGGUUUUGUUUCAAAAAUAGAGGAGCUGCUUCUGACCCAAUUGAUCAAAAAUGCUGUUCUUCAGGAAAGAGUGCAAAACGUCUUCUUUUCAAAGCAAAUGGAUUUGAGGACUGGGUCAUUGUGGUGGAGGAAGUAUUUUUAUCUGGGCCUCAGGAAACAGUGGUCUGGCUAGCAACUGCACUGGUACGGAUGAUUACAUGAACAGUAUUAACUCGGGGCAAAGCAUGCCUUCACUUACCCCUGCCCCAAAACUCCUAGACUACAAGAACUAAUCAAUGUCUGUGUCCACCUGGAAACAUCCAGUGAGCAAGGACUGUGGAAGCAACUGCCCCGAAAUGACCCUUCAAUCUGCAGUGAGUUCCCUCCAGCUGGAAUUAGGAGUCAGAAUCCCUGUCUUCUUGAAUAGCAAAAUCUGUAUAGACCGAUCACAAAGGUUACUAUUUUAUGCACAUGAGUAAUGCAGCCUCUGUAAGUUGAACGUGAUGUUAUCUCUAGAAAUGUUAUGCAUAAGCUUUAUCUUCAAAGAUAUUUCUGAACUUAACUUAUGCAUAUCUUUGCACUCAAGUUUGAUUUGAUAACCUGUCAAGAAGAUCUAAUUUGUUUGUGUUUUCCUAUGCUCUUCUCCAUACUGGGAAGUAUCAUUUGCUAACCGCACACUGGUAAAAUGAAUAUCAAGUUUAUU